ACAGAGGGUGCGAGCGUUGUUCGGAAUUACUGGGCGUAAAGCGCGCGCAGGCGGCUUUCUAAGUCCGACGGUCAAAUGCCGGGGCUCAACCCCGCGCGUGCCGCGGAUACUGGGAGGCUGGAGACAGGUAGAGGCAAGCGGAAUUCCGGGUGUAGCGGUGGAAUGCGUAGAGAUCCGGAGGAAGACCGGUGGCGAAGGCGGUCUGCUGGGCAGUUUCUGACACUGAUGCGCGACAGCGUGGGGAGCAAACAGGA
Molecule: ribosomal RNA, 254 nt
Filed under: uncultured prokaryote
Description: partial 16S ribosomal RNA
Rfam family: Bacterial small subunit ribosomal RNA
Source: RNAcentral